GACGAACGCUGGCGGCGUGCUUAACACAUGCAAGUCGAACGGAAAGGCCUCUUUCGGGGGGUACUCGAGUGGCGAACGGGUGAGUAACACGUGAGUAACCUGCCCUUGACUUUGGGAUAACUUCAGGAAACUGGGGCUAAUACCGGAUAGGAGCUCCUGCUGCAUGGUGGGGGUUGGAAAGUUUCGGCGGUUGGGGAUGGACUCGCGGCUUAUCAGCUUGUUGGUGGGGUAGUGGCUUACUAAGGCUUUGACGGGUAGCCGGCCUGAGAGGGUGACCGGCCACAUUGGGACUGAGAUACGGCCCAGACUCCUACGGGAGGCAGCAGUGGGGAAUAUUGCACAAUGGGUGGAAGCCUGAUGCAGCAACGCCGUGUGCGGGAUGACGGCCUUCGGGUUGUAAACCGCUUUCGCUCAUGACGAAGCUUUGUGUGACGGUAGUGGGUAAAGAAGCACCGGCUAACUACGUG
RNAcentral lists this ribosomal RNA (467 nucleotides) under uncultured bacterium. RNAcentral describes it as "partial 16S ribosomal RNA". It matches the Rfam family "Bacterial small subunit ribosomal RNA", at positions 28 to 507 of the family's 1533-position model. The record is from RNAcentral.